Lagopus leucura (white-tailed ptarmigan) is the source of this 1514-nucleotide long non-coding RNA. RefSeq lists it as uncharacterized. The transcript has 4 exons. The record is from RefSeq and is a predicted model, not a curated record. Lineage: Eukaryota; Metazoa; Chordata; Aves; Galliformes; Phasianidae.
GGAAGCACAGGUGUAACCAAUUCUCCUGUGCUUCCCACCUGGUUGGAAGGGGCAGACCUUGGGCUCAUUUAAGAGCUAGCCUCCAAAAGGUGAAUGUCUUCUGGAUGAGGGUUGUUUUUUGAGAAGUAGUAUUUUAUAGCUAGAGAGACUAUCAUCAGUUGGGUUAGACUGAACAUUUGAAGUUGUUCAGAUGUGGAACUGCCAUGAAAAAACUUCUUGUGUAAUUAGUCUCUGCUACCUUAUCCUGCCAUUCUUUCUCCAUUUGUUUAUAACUGUUGAAACACCUGCAAUGUGUUUGUUGAUUCUAUGAAAGAAGUGGCAGUAAAACAUGGUUCUCAGCUGGAUGCAAAUUUCUUCUGUAAGAAGUUCUACUUCACACUAAACUUGUGCUCCUUGAGAGCAUAGGCUGUUCAUGUAAGAAUCAUUAUUUGUUACACAGGCUAUCUGGGAGCAGUGUGAGCUUGAUUUACGGAAGAAAAAGCCACCUAUCUGUGGUAAGAAGCAAGUUGUGUAAGGUUGAGAUGGUUGAGUUUGGACGUUUCCUAGCUGUAUUCAGUAGCUCCUAAACAAACCAGCAGAAGUCACUAACAGUUCUGGGCAAACUACUAAAUGCACACCCUGGGAGUGAAAACAAGUCGUGUCUUACCUGCAGAGAAGCCUGCUCUAUGUGUUGUUCAUUUUUAAAAAUUAUUUUUAGUUAAUAUGACUCUUUAACUAUACACUGUGAUAUAUGUGGCUGAGUUUAAUUGUAUUACACAGAUACAAGACCUCUAUGAAUGGGUAAACUGAGUCCUACAUGUUCAAAGUAGUGUUCUUCAAUUCAUUGCACCGAUUCAUCAAUUGAACACAAGCCAAAGGCCAUUACAGUGGAGGAGUUGUUGUUUAUAACUUCAUCUGGGCCUGUACCUGUUACGUGGGAGGCUCCUACAAGCUCUUUUAAGUUGUAUUCUUCUUAUAUUGACAUCCCCCCUUUCCGUAUGUUUUUUAGACACUGCAAUAUGAAUUAUGCUUAUUAUGGAUAUGACAGCCAAAUCUAUUUUGCUCUUACAAGUGAUGUGCCAAGACAGCCUCUGUUCUGUCAGUAAGCACUGCCAAAGUACAAUUGCAUAUGGCAGCAAACCUUUUUCAAGUUAAAACAGAAAUGCUGAAAACUGACUUGACUAAUUUAUCAAAAUUGCUUCCUGACUCUCCUGGGUUUUUUUUCUGGCUGCUACAAGACAUCCUUCUACAAUGCAACUGGAAACUCUUUGGAACUAAGUCAAUAUUUUCAUUCAUAUUUCAUGUUAACACUGGACCCAAACAUUGUAAGGUGCUAAAUCUUUUUGAAAGGGUGACAAUCAGUGGUUUCCAACACAGAGACUGUGGUCUAAUGGUGUGCUACCAUGAUCUUGGAUUUUGUGCAACUACUUAUAUAAAAUUGGUCUGAAGUACUAUUAGCACAAUAUUGACAGUUUAUCCUUAUUCUUUCUUCUCACUGUAUAUAAAUGCACCUGUGAGAUCAGUGAAGUGAAAGA